UGACUAUCAUUAAGAGGCCAAGAGGUCCUAUU
RNAcentral lists this non-coding RNA (32 nucleotides) under Rattus norvegicus (Norway rat). The record is from RNAcentral. Lineage: Eukaryota; Metazoa; Chordata; Mammalia; Rodentia; Muridae.